Molecule: ribosomal RNA, 253 nt
Filed under: uncultured bacterium
Lineage: Bacteria
Description: partial 16S ribosomal RNA
Rfam family: Bacterial small subunit ribosomal RNA
Source: RNAcentral
UACGAAGGGGGCUAGCGUUGCUCGGAAUCACUGGGCGUAAAGCGCACGUAGGCGGAUCUUUAAGUCAGGGGUGAAAUCCCAAGGCUCAACCUUGGAACUGCCUUUGAUACUGGGGAGCUCGAGUCCGGGAGAGGUGAGUGGAACUGCGAGUGUAGAGGUGAAAUUCGUAGAUAUUCGCAAGAACACCGGUGGCGAAGGCGGUUCUCUGGGCCUUACCUGACGCUGAGGAGCGAAAGCGUGGGGAGCAAACAGG